Oncorhynchus tshawytscha (Chinook salmon) is the source of this 1738-nucleotide RNA transcript. It is a transcript of the gene named survival motor neuron protein, with no coding region annotated. The transcript is spliced from 10 exons. The record is from RefSeq and is a predicted model, not a curated record. NCBI's taxonomy places the organism in Eukaryota, Metazoa, Chordata, Actinopteri, Salmoniformes, Salmonidae.
AAAAACGUGGUCAAAUCAUGACCUUCAAGUCUGUGCUCUAGACAGAUGCCAGAGUUUCCUACUUGGAAUUCCAAGUUGGAUGACGAUUCAAAACUCAUUUUCCCACCUUUGUAGUUAUCUUGAACACACUGAAGUCGGAUAUUUACGAGUUCCCAGGUGUUUUGAACGAUGCACAAUCAAAGCGUUUGCUACUAAACUUGACAAUGGCCUAAUGUCACGAAAAAUAUAACAAGUUAAUACGUGUGUUUAAUUCAACUAGCUAGUUAUGGAUGAAUAUUAUGAAAGUAUUGUUUUCCGAAGUGAAAGAGUCGAGGAUAACGUGUCUUUAGCUGUGUCUACUGACGACUCCGCACUGGUAAAGGCCUAUGAAGACGCCCUCCGAACAUUUCGGAGGGCUGAAAAAGAGAGCGGUGAGAAGCUUGCAGACAAUCCGCAGACGCUGUCUGAAUCAUAUGUGCCGACCAAAGGACCAGUUGACCCGAAGACCAACUCAAAGGUAUGGAGGCUGGGAUACCGGUGUCGUGCGGUGUACUCCGAGGAUGGCCUGGUCUACCCAGCGGUGCUGGUGUGGUUGAGAGGCGAACGCUGCCGGGUGAAGUUUGAAGGCUACGGGAAUGAGGAAGAGCUGGAGCUGAGCAGCCUGCUAUCUCCAGUAGAACUGGGAGGCCACAGAGGAAGAGUUGAUGCCAAAGUGCAACAAGGAGCUGUUGAUGGGUUCAGCUCCACUAGUAACAACAUUGCUGAUUGGAAGAGGAUGGAAAGAGAUUGGAGGACAGCUCAACAAGAGGGACGAGAGGAGCUGUCCUCACCUCAGCCAUCUAAGUUUGCUCCAGUGAGUCUGGGUGCUGUUCCCUCUGUUUCAGGACACCUGGAAUACAUUGUUGACCAAUGGCCAUGCUUUACUGAGGGAAAAGAUUAUGGCAAAUGCAGCUAUGACUUUGGCAAGGAGCAUGGGGAUAAGAAGAAGCCAAGUGGCCGGCGAGAGGUACCAAACAAUCACCCCUUUUCCUUCUUUCCUCCAGUGCCCAAGGAGUCUCUGGACUUCCUGCCUCCUCCACCUCCACCGUGUGUAUGGCCCCCCCGAGCAGUGCUGGCCGAUGCUAGCAAUGGGCUAGACUCAGCCGUGACAGACAUAUCCAGCAUGCUCCUGUCCUGGUACCUGUGUGGCUACCACACCGGCUGCUACAUGGCAAUGCAACAGACGAAAACAAGUCGCAGGAGGGCUGAUAAAGAGAAACAGGCAGAGGAAUAAGGUCUAUUUGAAUCUUAUAAAAGUAAAGGCCUAAGUUUUGCAGUCACUGAAGAUUGCAGGCUGAGUAAUUCUCGUAUGAGGAUAUAUUAGGACUGAAGAUACCACCCUGGGGAAUUCCACAGACAUUGUCCUAGGAUUAGAAGUUUGGUUGUGUUCCCAUGGUAAGAGGAUUGGGUUUAGAAUUUACUUUAUUGUAAUAUAAUUGUAUUGUAGAAACUUGUUAAGAAAUGCCAGAGCAUCGAAAUGUUUAUCAUUUGAGUGACUAUUAUUUUGUCUGAUAUUGUCAAGUAGGUUACAGUGUACUAGAGCAAAAAUAAAUAUGUUCUCUGUGUCUCUGUACCCACAGUGUGAUGCGGAUCAGCAAUGUGCAGUUAGCAAAGGUGCAAGAAUUGGGAAGUUGUGCGAGUGUUCACAGGGAACGAGGGAAUCGAGGAUGACAGCUACCAUCUGAUCAAUCAUCACACUGUAUGAGGACAAAUUGUGUUU